AUUGAACGCUGGCGGCAUGCCUUACACAUGCAAGUCGAACGGCAGCACGGGAGCAAUCCUGGUGGCGAGUGGCGAACGGGUGAGUAAUAUAUCGGAACGUGCCCAGUCGUGGGGAUAACGUAGCGAAAGCUACGCUAAUACCGCAUACGAUCUAUGGAUGAAAGCGGGGGAUCGCAAGACCUCGCGCGAUUGGAGCGGCCGAUAUCAGAUUAGGUAGUUGGUGAGGUAAAGGCUCACCAAGCCGACGAUCUGUAGCUGGUCUGAGAGGACGACCAGCCACACUGGGACUGAGACACGGCCCAGACUCCUACGGGAGGCAGCAGUGGGGAAUUUUGGACAAUGGGCGGCAAGACCUGAUCCAGCAAUGCCGCGUGCAGGA
This 379-nucleotide ribosomal RNA is filed under the name uncultured bacterium. RNAcentral's name for it is "bacterial SSU rRNA". It matches the Rfam family "Bacterial small subunit ribosomal RNA", at positions 30 to 408 of the family's 1533-position model. The record is from RNAcentral.